AACAGGAUUAGAUACCCUGGUAGUCCACGCCGUAAACGAUGAGUGCUAGGUGUUAGGGGUUUCGAUGCCCGUAGUGCCGAAGUUAACACAUUAAGCACUCCGCCUGGGGAGUACGGCCGCAAGGCUGAGACUCAAAGGAAUUGACGGGGACCCGCACAAGCAGUGGAGCAUGUGGUUUAAUUCGAAGCAACGCGAAGAACCUUACCAGGUCUUGACAUCCUUUGACCACCCAAGAGAUUGGGCUUCCCCUUCGGGGGCAAAGUGACAGGUGGUGCAUGGUUGUCGUCAGCUCGUGUCGUGAGAUGUUGGGUUAAGUCCCGCAACGAGCGCAACCCUUGAUCUUAGUUGCCAGCAUUCAGUUGGGCACUCUAAGGUGACUGCCGGUGACAAACCGGAGGAAGGUGGGGAUGACGUCAAAUCAUCAUGCCCCUUAUGACCUGGGCUACACACGUGCUACAAUGGAUGGUACAAAGGGCAGCGAAACCGCGAGGUGAAGCCAAUCCCAUAAAGCCAUUCUCAGUUCGGAUUGCAGGCUGCAACUCGCCUGCAUGAAGCCGGAAUUGCUAGUAAUCGCGGAUCAGCAUGCCGCGGUGAAUACGUUCCCGGGUCUUGUACACACCGCCCGUCACACCACGAGAGUUUGUAACACCCGAAGUCGGUGAGGCAACCUUUUGGAGCCAGCCGCCUAAGGUGGGACAAAUGAUUGGGGUGAAGUCGUAACAAGGUAACC
Molecule: ribosomal RNA, 730 nt
Filed under: uncultured bacterium
Lineage: Bacteria
Description: bacterial SSU rRNA
Rfam family: Bacterial small subunit ribosomal RNA
Source: RNAcentral